AAAACAUUGCUUAAAUUUUUAUGAGCAACUAACCGAUGAAAAUGUUAAGAAAGCAAUUGUUUGCAGAAAAGAAAACAAUUCAGAAGUUAGACGCAUACAAAAAAAGUUACGAAGAUGUAAGAUGAAGUGAGACAUUAUAAUUCAAGUGUAGAUGGAAUUAAUAAAAAUGAAGUUGAAAGCUGGGAGGAAAGCAAUCUGAUGAUUUUAAAGAUAAAGUUGCAGUUUUGUGCUAGUUAAGCAAUCUGAAAGGGAAAAACAUUUAUAUAAAAGAGAAUUUCUGCUCUAAAACAACGCAAAUCAGAAAAGGUUUGAGGGAGAUAAUGAAAAUCGAAGAGCGGCUGGUAAGUUUGCAAAUAUAUAUGUUUGCAAAUGAUAAAUUGAUAAUUUGCGAUUGGGUAGCAAAGAAAAGCAAAAUUUUAUCAAAUUUAAAAAAAUAAAUUCUCGGAUAAAAAUGACAUUUUCAGUGGUAAUGACACCGACUUUAUAUACUAUUUUAGUCACAAAAUGUUAGAAAGUAAUUAUUUCUUCGUUUCUGAAUCUUUGCAACAUCUUAAACAAAAUAAAAACACUUUUUCAAUUUUAAAUAUCAAUAUUCAAAGUUUUACAGCUUUGUUGUAAAUGUAAAUCAACCAACGGUAGAAAUUGUUUACAGAGAGAUUGGUUGGUAUUACCUUUGAAGUUAUGUGUGCUGACAUCGCAUCGAAACUUGUUUUACUCCAGUUAAGCCAACCGCAACUUGAAGGUUUUUUUCUUUUCUUGUUCAAGUCUACUGCAAAAAGACCGACUAAACAGAAUUGAGAUUUUCCCAUUAGUGUCCUAGGAAGUUUUCUUUUUUUAUUGAGAUUAGGCGAUCAGGAUUGUUGGUGAAAAUAAGGUCAAGCGUAAUAAUUGGCAUUGCAAUUUAGUUUUUAUGAUAUGUUGGAAAUGUUACUAGCUGAGUUAGAUAGCAGUCUUUAUAAUACUCUUGGAAAUCGAUGUCACUGGGACUUUAGUCACUUACAUGAGUGGUUGUUCUUACACCACAACCAAAGUUGCAUGAUUUGUAACUGGUUUAGCUAAAAGUAAAAUCAUUAUACAAGAGCAUUGUCGCGCUGUUUUAAUAUUCUUAGGGUAUACAACCAAGAAGUAUUUAUUCGUUUUUAAAAUGAAUUUUGCGUCUCUGGUUGGCAAAACACUCAUACGACAUCUCCUUCCCCCCCCCCCCCCCCCA
Molecule: non-coding RNA, 1210 nt
Organism: Hydra vulgaris (swiftwater hydra)
Lineage: Eukaryota; Metazoa; Cnidaria; Hydrozoa; Anthoathecata; Hydridae
Source: RefSeq, a predicted model, not a curated record